UCGUAGGUGACCUGCGGAGGAUCAUUACCGAGUUGAUUCGGGCUCCGUCCCGAUCCUCCCACCCUUUGUAUACCUACCUCUGUUGCUUUGGCGGGCCGCGGUCUUCCGCGGCCGCCCCCCGAUUUUGGGGGGUGGCUAGUGCCCGCCAGAGGACUAUCAAACUCCAGUCAGUAAACGUUGCAGUCUGAAAAAAAUAUUAAAUAAACUAAAACUUUCAACAACGGAUCUCUUGGUUCUGGCAUCGAUGAAGAACGCAGCGAAAUGCGAUAAGUAAUGUGAAUUGCAGAAUUCAGUGAAUCAUCGAAUCUUUGAACGCACAUUGCGCCCCUUGGUAUUCCGGGGGGCAUGCCUGUUCGAGCGUCAUUUCAACCCUCAAGCUCUGCUUGGUAUUGGGCACCGUCCUUUGCGGGCGCGCCUCAAAGACCUCGGCGGUGGCGUCUUGCCUCAAGCGUAGUAAAAUACACCUCGCUUCGGAGCGUAAGGCGUCGCCCGCCGGACGAACCUUCUGAACUUUUCUCAAGGUUGACCUCGGAUCAGGUAGGGAUACCCGCUGAACUUAAGCAUAUCA
Molecule: ribosomal RNA, 568 nt
Filed under: Macrophomina phaseolina
Lineage: Eukaryota; Fungi; Ascomycota; Dothideomycetes; Botryosphaeriales; Botryosphaeriaceae
Description: eukaryotic LSU rRNA
Rfam family: 5.8S ribosomal RNA (bases 210-363)
Source: RNAcentral